RNAcentral lists this long non-coding RNA (597 nucleotides) under Capsella rubella. RNAcentral's name for it is "long non-coding RNA (CRUB_LNC003232)". The record is from RNAcentral. Lineage: Eukaryota; Viridiplantae; Streptophyta; Magnoliopsida; Brassicales; Brassicaceae.
UGAUUACUUCAGUACUGAAGAGUUGUAUAUCUCACAAAACAGAAAGAACCAGAAACUAGCUAUAAACCAAAGAUGCAUUAUUUCAACAAGUCUCCUAAUAAGAAUCUUAUUGCAAAGAGUGGCCAACUCCACACAAGGCCUAUUCUGUUAAGAGUGAUCACAUUUUUACACAAAGGCUAAGAAGGAAGACUAUUUACUUUCUAUAGGGUGUGAGAGAUUAGAGAUAUAACAGCUUCUCUGAACCACUUUUGCUCUCAUAUCAACAAGCUUCUCAAACCGUAGAUGUAAUAAAAGAUCCGUCACCUGCAAGUUAUGAAAACCCUAAAUAAGACUCGAGGGUGCAGAAAAUGUCAUAUAAUCAUAUAUAUCAUCAUCAAUAGUCGAUGCUCAUGAAUGAUUAACAUACCUUCAACUGCAAGAAACCAUCCCACGAACCAUCAAAACGUAACAGAGCGACAAAGAUCAAUGGAAAGCGAGUCCAUGGAUUUAAGCACUAGCGAUCUUGAUGCAACCUCCCCCCAAACCUCACCUCCUUCACGUCUUUCUACUGUAAUCUCUAUGCGCCAAACAUGUUUAGAACCAUAUUCGUUGGAAGUU